ACUCCUACGGGAGGCAGCAGUGGGGAAUAUUGGACAAUGGGGAACCCGUAGCAUCCAGCCAUGUCGCGUGUGUGAAGAAGGCCUUCGGGUUGUAAAGCACUUUCAGUGGGGAGGAAAGGUUGAUGGUUAAUACCUAUCAGCUGUGACGUUACCCACAGAAGAAGCACCGGCUAACUCCGUGCCAGCAGCCGCGGUAAUACGGAGGGUGCAAGCGUUAAUCGGAAUUACUGGGCGUAAAGCGUGCGCAGGCGGUCUGUUAAGCGAGAUGUGAAAG
This 274-nucleotide ribosomal RNA is filed under the name uncultured bacterium. Its description in RNAcentral is "partial 16S ribosomal RNA". It matches the Rfam family "Bacterial small subunit ribosomal RNA", at positions 335 to 600 of the family's 1533-position model. The record is from RNAcentral.